RNAcentral lists this non-coding RNA (31 nucleotides) under Mus musculus (house mouse). The record is from RNAcentral. Lineage: Eukaryota; Metazoa; Chordata; Mammalia; Rodentia; Muridae.
UGAAAAUUUUAUUUUAUGUUUGGUCCCUUCA